GACGAACGCUGGCGGCGUGCUUAACACAUGCAAGUCGAGCGGUAAGGCCCUUUCGGGGGUACACGAGCGGCGAACGGGUGAGUAACACGUGGGUGACCUGCCCUUAGCUCUGGGAUAAGCCUGGGAAACUGGGUCUAAUACCGGAUAUGACUCCAUGACGCAUGUUGUGGGGUGGAAAGCCUUGUGCGGCUAGGGAUGGGCCCGCGGCCUAUCAGCUUGUUGGUGGGGUGAUGGCCACCAAGGCGACGACGGUAGCCGGCCUGAGAGGGCGACCGGCCACACUGGGACUNAGACACGGCCCAGACUCCUACGGGAGGCAGCAGUGGGGAAUCUUGCGCAAUGGGCGAAAGCCUGACGCAGCGACGCCGCGUGAGGGAUGAC
This 381-nucleotide ribosomal RNA is filed under the name uncultured bacterium. RNAcentral describes it as "bacterial SSU rRNA". It matches the Rfam family "Bacterial small subunit ribosomal RNA", at positions 28 to 412 of the family's 1533-position model. The record is from RNAcentral.